GAUGAACGCUGGCGGCGUGCCUAAUACAUGCAAGUCGAGCGAACAGACGAGGAGUUUGCUCCUCUGACGUUAGCGGCGGACGGGUGAUUCCCACGUGUAUAACCUACCUAUACGACUGGGAUACCUUCGCGAAACCGGAUCUAAUACCGGAUAAUAUAUUGAACCGCGUGGUUCAAUAGUGAAAGACGGUUUUGCUGACACUAAUAGAUGGAUCCGGGUCGCAUUAGCUAGUUGGUAAGGUAACGGCUUACCAAGGCGACGAUGCGUAGCCGACCUGAGAGGGUGAUCGGCCACACGGGAACUGAGACACGGUCCAGACUCCUACGGGAGGCAGCAGUAGGGAAUCUUCCGCAAUGGGCGAAAGCCGGAUGGAGCAACGCCGCGUGAGUGAUGAAGGUCUUCGGAUCGUAAAGCUCUGUAAGUAGGGAGGAAGAAAAGUGUAAGUAACCAUGCACGUCUUGACGGUACCGAAAGAAUAAGCCCCGGCUAACUACGUG
RNAcentral lists this ribosomal RNA (497 nucleotides) under uncultured bacterium. RNAcentral describes it as "partial 16S ribosomal RNA". It matches the Rfam family "Bacterial small subunit ribosomal RNA", at positions 28 to 507 of the family's 1533-position model. The record is from RNAcentral.